Molecule: non-coding RNA, 73 nt
Organism: Phrynosoma platyrhinos (Desert horned lizard)
Lineage: Eukaryota; Metazoa; Chordata; Lepidosauria; Squamata; Phrynosomatidae
Source: the annotation of a GenBank genome assembly
GCGUGGCGCAGUGGUUUGAGCGCCGGACUAAGACUCUGGAGAUCGGGGUUCGCAGGUUCGAUUCCCACCUCCA